This 929-nucleotide ribosomal RNA is filed under the name Cellulomonas sp. 466P2. Its description in RNAcentral is "bacterial SSU rRNA". It matches the Rfam family "Bacterial small subunit ribosomal RNA", at positions 63 to 1001 of the family's 1533-position model. The record is from RNAcentral. Lineage: Bacteria; Bacillati; Actinomycetota; Actinomycetes; Micrococcales; Cellulomonadaceae.
CGAACGGUGAUGACCAGCUUGCUGGUCUGAUCAGUGGCGAACGGGUGAGUAACACGUGAGCAACCUGCCCUUCACUCUGGGAUAACCACGGGAAACGGUGGCUAAUACCGGAUACGAGACGUACCUGCAUGGGUGGCGUCUGGAAAGAUUUAUCGGUGGAGGAUGGGCUCGCGGCCUAUCAGCUUGUUGGUGGGGUAAUGGCCUACCAAGGCGACGACGGGUAGCCGGCCUGAGAGGGCGACCGGCCACACUGGGACUGAGACACGGCCCAGACUCCUACGGGAGGCAGCAGUGGGGAAUAUUGCACAAUGGGCGCAAGCCUGAUGCAGCGACGCCGCGUGAGGGAUGACGGCCUUCGGGUUGUAAACCUCUUUCAGCAGGGAAGAAGCGAAAGUGACGGUACCUGCAGAAGAAGCGCCGGCUAACUACGUGCCAGCAGCCGCGGUAAUACGUAGGGCGCAAGCGUUGUCCGGAAUUAUUGGGCGUAAAGAGCUCGUAGGCGGUUUGUCGCGUCUGCUGUGAAAACCUGAGGCUCAACCUCGGGCUUGCAGUGGGUACGGGCAGACUAGAGUGCGGUAGGGGUGACUGGAAUUCCUGGUGUAGCGGUGGAAUGCGCAGAUAUCAGGAGGAACACCGAUGGCGAAGGCAGGUCACUGGGCCGCAACUGACGCUGAGGAGCGAAAGCAUGGGGAGCGAACAGGAUUAGAUACCCUGGUAGUCCAUGCCGUAAACGUUGGGCACUAGGUGUGGGGCUCAUUCCACGAGUUCCGUGCCGCAGCAAACGCAUUAAGUGCCCCGCCUGGGGAGUACGGCCGCAAGGCUAAAACUCAAAGAAAUUGACGGGGGCCCGCACAAGCGGCGGAGCAUGCGGAUUAAUUCGAUGCAACGCGAAGAACCUUACCAAGGCUUGACAUACACCGGAAACUUCC